Molecule: ribosomal RNA, 468 nt
Filed under: uncultured bacterium
Lineage: Bacteria
Description: partial 16S ribosomal RNA
Rfam family: Bacterial small subunit ribosomal RNA
Source: RNAcentral
GACGAACGCUGGCGGCGUGCUUAACACAUGCAAGUCGAACGGAAAGGCCCUGCUUUUGUGGGGUGCUCGAGUGGCGAACGGGUGAGUAACACGUGAGUAACCUGCCCUUGACUGUGGGAUAACUUCAGGAAACUGGGGCUAAUACCGGAUAGGAGCUCCUGCUGCAUGGUGGGGGUUGGAAAGUUUCGGCGGUUGGGGCUGGACUCGCGGCUUAUCAGCUUGUUGGUGGGGUAGUGGCUUACCAAGGCUUUGAAGGGUAGCCGGCCUGGGAGGGUGACCGGCCACCUUGGGACUGCGAUACGGACCAGACUCCUACGGGAGGCAGCAGUGGGGAAUAUUGCACAAUGGGCGGGAGCCUGAUGCGGCAACCCCGCGUGCGGGAUGACGUCCUUCGGGUUGUAAACCGCUUUCGCCUGUGACGAAGCGUGAGUGACGGUAAUGGGUAAGGAAGCACCGGCUAACUACGUG